Molecule: long non-coding RNA, 355 nt
Filed under: Solanum tuberosum (potato)
Lineage: Eukaryota; Viridiplantae; Streptophyta; Magnoliopsida; Solanales; Solanaceae
Description: long non-coding RNA (STUB_LNC008028)
Source: RNAcentral
CUAAACCUCUUUACACGUCAUUUUUAUUCAAACGAAAAGACAAAUUGAAGAAGGUAAUGUUGUAUUUUGUUGAUCUUUCAACUUCCUUCAUAUGAUUCUCUCUCUUCUCCGAUGAAAACCCUAGGUAAAUGUCUCUUCACUUCACAUGUAUUGUUUUAUUUUUCCUUCAAUUCGUUGUUAGUAAUAACCAUUGUUGUAUUUAUGUCGCCAUUUUUCAGGUUUAAGGUUGUAUUGACGAGGUAUCGAGUUGUGCGAUGUUGGAGAAAUUGAAGAAGGUGUAUUUUGUUUUCUACCUUUGCUUUCUACCUUUGUUUUCUACCUUUGUUUUCUUGAAGAAGGUUUAUUUUGUUGUUAA